Molecule: non-coding RNA, 666 nt
Organism: Pimephales promelas (fathead minnow)
Lineage: Eukaryota; Metazoa; Chordata; Actinopteri; Cypriniformes; Leuciscidae
Source: RefSeq, a predicted model, not a curated record
CCAGAGUGUAAAUGGGUGGAGGGAACCGCAGCAGCGCUAAAGGCCUGUGACUGUGUGCGGCUGUCUGAGGUGCAUUCAGACGGAAGCGCCCUCAGAUUACUUGGACGUGCUGUGGUUUCAAAAGAUGUCAUUGGAAUCAGAAGACAGUGACAAAGACUCAGAUAUAAACGGACUGUCUAGCUCCAGGCCCAGUUGUCAUGGCUACCAUUAUGCUGUCUGAUGCUGAAGUACAUUUUGUGUGGGAAAUUUGUUCUGUUACCCGGUAUUCAAACCCAGUCGGUGCUCGCUCUCUCUCUCUCUCUCUCUCUCUCUCUCUCUCUCUCUGUGUGUGUGUGUUCUUUCCAUUUGUACAGUCAGUGUUCUUGCUUCUGUAUGGCCAUUAAAUGACGUACAUUUUGUCAUACAGAUGUUUUAGAAAUAAAUAGCUGUAGAUAUUGUAGAUUUGCCACCCUUGCCCUGCAAUACAUCAGUUAGUUGGAUACGUGAGAGGGAUUUUAUUUAUUUAUUUGUUUAUUUAAUCGUAUAAGUCAUUUAAUCGUUUAGUUGCGUCAAGAAGAACUGAAGAGGUGGAUGGACAGUGGAGGUACAGUCUGUAGAGCCGGUUGCCAUGGAUACACUUAUCUAGCUGUUGGUUGGGGGUAUUUCUGGAUGGAGUAGAGCCUUUAG